UACGGGGGGAGCAAGCGUCGUUCGGAUUUACUGGGCGUAAAGGGCGCGUAGGCGGUCGUGACAAGUCACUUGUGAAAUCUCCGGGCUUAACUCGGAACGGUCAAGUGAUACUGUCGGACUAGAGUACAGAAGGGGCAACUGGAAUUCUCGGUGUAGCGGUGAAAUGCGUAGAUAUCGAGAGGAACACCUGCGGCGAAGGCGGGUUGCUGGGCUGAUACUGACGCUGAGGCGCGAAAGCGUGGGGAGCGAACAGG
RNAcentral lists this ribosomal RNA (254 nucleotides) under uncultured bacterium. Its description in RNAcentral is "partial 16S ribosomal RNA". It matches the Rfam family "Bacterial small subunit ribosomal RNA", at positions 524 to 776 of the family's 1533-position model. The record is from RNAcentral.